GCGGAUGUGGCGUAAUUGGCAGCCGCGCUAGACUUAGGAUCUAGUGUCGAAAGACUUGUGGGUUCGAGUCCCACCAUCCGCA
This 82-nucleotide transfer RNA is filed under the name Bacteroidales bacterium. RNAcentral's name for it is "tRNA-Leu". It matches the Rfam family "tRNA". From Rfam's summary of the family: Transfer RNA (tRNA) molecules are approximately 80 nucleotides in length. Their secondary structure includes four short double-helical elements and three loops (D, anti-codon, and T loops). The record is from RNAcentral. Lineage: Bacteria; Pseudomonadati; Bacteroidota; Bacteroidia; Bacteroidales. RNAcentral also lists the same sequence under 1 other name.